This 70-nucleotide small RNA is filed under the name Pontibacillus yanchengensis Y32. Its description in RNAcentral is "Bacillaceae-1 RNA". It matches the Rfam family "Bacillaceae-1 RNA". The record is from Rfam by way of RNAcentral. Lineage: Bacteria; Bacillati; Bacillota; Bacilli; Caryophanales; Bacillaceae.
UGUAGAUGAAGUUCGAUUAAAAUCGCUGCAUGGUGGUGUAGCAACAUCAAACCAACCCACAUCUUAUGGG